UGCAAUGAUAACGCUUAGCAGGCUGC
Molecule: non-coding RNA, 26 nt
Filed under: Homo sapiens (human)
Lineage: Eukaryota; Metazoa; Chordata; Mammalia; Primates; Hominidae
Source: RNAcentral